GAGUUUGAGGUCAGUCUGGUCUUCAGAGUGAUUUCCAGGAUAGCCAGGACUACCCAGAGGAACUAUCUCAAAAACAUAAUGUUUGGUUUGUUUAGGUUUUGAUACAAGGUCUUACUGAUGUUGAUUUCAAGAUCAUGAUCCUUCUGCCUCUGUUUCCAAAUGUGCUGUUAUUGGCAUAUGCCACCAGGCCUGACUUGUUAGAAACAUCUAUAUAUAAGAUCAAGGAAAUUCUACCAUAAUCUCUUCAAAUUGCAUGUAGUUAGAUCUUAACAACUGACUUAAGUUGAAUUUAAGUAGGUGCAGUUCUCUGACCCCUCAGUCUCAUUUCCAGAGUCUAUGAAUUCUGUGGGACCUACGGUUUGUCAGUGUUCCUCCUGUUUGAAGGCACUUUUUCUGAUUUGAUUUUUUUAUUUUUUAGUCCUUAUUUAUUUAGUACUUUUUUGUAUUAGAACAUUGAGCUUUUAACCUACAUUGUUUAAGGAUUUUUAUAGUUUGUCAUAGUUUAUGGGUGUACAAACAUGGAGAUUGCACCAAGCCUCCUCUCCCAUCCUGAAUAACAUAGUCUGACAGUAAAGACUUAUUUCAAUGAUUAUUACAAGAAGCCCUUAAAGAAGGGAAGGAGAUGAAAGAAUGCAUAUGACAUUAAGUUGGUAUAUGGAAAUAACAUUUGAGGUCUAACCAUGUACCAAGUACUUCCUACAUGGUGUGCUUGUAUGUUAUUGUUUGAGAUACGCUCUCUUUAUGUAACCCUGGCUGGCCUGGACUUGCUACAUAGAUCAGGCUGGCCUUGAAUUUAAGGGAUCAGCUUGCCUUUGCUGGAAGUAAAGGCCGUUAUGCCUCAGCGUUUGUUGCAUACUCUUUCUGUCAUUGAGAUAAACAGAUUUAACAAAAGUAGCCUGCAUUAUAUAGAAAACAAAAUUUAAAACAAACAUAAAUCACUUGAAUGUCUUUCCUGGUACUAAAAUUUGAAACUAGACAUUUUUGUUUUCACUUUGUAUCGUUAGACAAAAACCUCACUCAGUUGGCCACAGGUCACAAGACUCCUGAGACAGACCUUGAACUUGUAGCCCUACUGCUUCAGACUCUUGAGAGGCUAAAAUUGCUGACCUACGUCACCAGGUCCAGCUCAGUCACUAGAAUUGUUCAGAAUGUUUGUUUCUGUUGACCUACCCUUUAAGUGUGGUGCCUCUGCAUGGUAUUGGAAAAGUCAGGAUUUUUCUAGGGUUCUGAGAUAGUAGUACUUUUUUUAAAAAAAAAUAUUAUGUAUACAAUAUUCUGUCUGUGUGUAUGCCUGCAGGCCAGAAGAGGACAUCAGACCCCAUUACAGAUGGUUGUGAACCACCAUGUGGUUGAUGGGAAAUGAACUCAGGACCUUUGGAAGAGCAGGCAAUGCUCUUAACCACUGAGCCAUCUCUCCAGUCCCAGUAGUACUUUUUAUAGAAGUUUAAACAUAUGAAGUAAUAGGGUUCACUACAAUGUGUGUGUGAUUGUUUUUUGUUCUAGUUUACCCCUGUCCCUCACUGCCCUUCAGGCUGGUUUCCUCCCUUCAAAAAUAUCUCCGCCUUCUGCUUUUAUAUCUCAUACAGUCUAUAGCACGCCACGAUAUUGUUACUCCCCCACUUAAGAUCUGUGCACCCUCCAUGGUCUCUUAAGCAUUUCCUUUUGUUUAAGACAUGAUCUCAUGUAGCCCAGGCUGGCCUCAAGCUCACUAUGUAGCUGAGGUAGUUUUUGAACUCCUGAUUCUUCUGCCCCUGCCUCACAAGUAUUGAUAGUACUCGUACCAUGGCGACAGGCUGAUUUUUUUUCUCCCAGUAUUUUAAAAUGUUAUGUGUAAAAGUGUUUUGCCUUGGUGUAUGGAUGUAUAUUAUAUGCAUGCCUGGUGCCCAUGGAAGUCAGAUGAGGACAUCAGAUCCUCUGGAAUGAAGUUACAGAUGGUUAUUAGCCUCUCUGUGUUGGUGUUGUGAAACAACCAAAGUCCUCUGAAGAGAACAAGUGUUUUCAACUACUGGGCUACCUUCCUAACUCCUCAGGCUGUAGUUCUCAAUGAUCUGGGUGCAUGAAGCUCUUAAGGAUUUUAUGAAAGUUUUUGAUCCAUCCAAGAUGUUACUCCUGCCCUCAUACAUAUAUAGAAAGGGAAUUGGCCAAGUCCCAGACACUGCAUCUAUGUACAAAUGCUUGUAGCUCUUCUGGGAUGCAGUAAGGUGCAUGACUCAGGUUAAAACUCAGCCCUGGAAGUGUAUGGGUAUCCACAUAGCCUGGAGGGAGUUCCAUUCAUCUGCAUGAUACUGUUAAAUGCUGCCACACCUUAGUGGUACUCUGUGAACUUGAGAAGACUUACACCCAGGCAUCCUGAUGGUUCACUGAAAGGCAUGCUGUGUUUUUCUCCUGUAAAUAGAAAAUUUAUCCAUUUUGUAUUUAGAUUCAUGAAUGUGUGCUAUAACCAAAUGGUAUUACUUUCUUUUAACCUUUGCAGUACACGCUGUGCAGUCUUAUAGAUAAAGAAAUGAGGAUUGCCCACAUAGACAGCAUAUUUUGGAUUUUGUAAUAAGUGGUUACUCUCGUUUACUACCACUCUCCCCUCUGAAAUUCACUUGGAAUCCUUUAGGUCAGCCCCUCUGAAAUUUUCUUGGAUAAACAAUGAUGACAAAAAAAUUGUCUUGCAUCAUAGUGGAUAACAGUGACAUGCAGAACAAGUAGUCUCCUUGGAAUACGGCAUAGCCCACUAAGUGGUGGCAUGGGUCAGUCUAGUUAAAGGAGAACAAUGACACACAUACGCCAUGUCUUCUCAUCCCUGUUUGAUGAUCCUCUUGUCAAGGAAUCUUCAAGAAAUACCUGCUGUCAUUUAACCAGAGCAGCUGUCUUAUCUGCUUACUGAAGCUCCAGAAGCAUUCACCUUCUACCUGAGAGCAAGCCUGCCAGUCAAGAUCUUGCUAUACAGUUGGCUGGCAUGAAUGCACUAUGUGGAACAAGCCGGCCUUAAAGUUGGAAUGACCCUCCUGUGUCCGUGCUAAGAUUAUAGGCAUGUACCACCUUGCCUGACUGAAAUAGAAUUUUUGUCAGUCCUUCAUAUGAUUGUGCAUCACUGAGCCGAGUGGAAAGACGCUACCUGAAAGCUGCAGAUUGGAAAGCAGACAGACAGGAGCUUGAAACCAGGCUGUGCCAACAAUACUGGUCAUGUGACCUGGCGGAAAUUGCUUAACUUCUUUAAGGCUCCUUGUCCUCAUUUUGCAACGCUGUGAUUUCCCUCGAAUACGGAGUUUAGGAACUUGAAGAAGAGAGGGCUAAAGAAAGCACGAUCCUGCUCAGCAUUUUGUUGUUGGAAGAUACUGCGCUUCUACCUCACCUCACGCAGAUAAGACUUGUUUUAUGACAGCUGCAGACAGCAGCUCUGAGUGUCAGGGAGCCUGGAAUUCCAGCCCGUGGUUCACCUGUGCAUCAUCUUCCCUGCUGUGAAAGGUGGCCUGCCUCGUCAUGUGACUUUUCCUGGAGAGAUGUUCAUCCAUUGAAAAGAGACCACAGGGUAUUUCACCCAAGUCUCGCUUGGUGAACCCGUGAGUUUAUGGGCUUCUUUACAGGGCCACGGCUGACUCACAGACAGCUACAUCCCUGAAAAGCGUCUUCCGGGGAUGGGUGAUGAACACUCGAGUCUUGGAGCCUCCUCCCUAACUGGCAGACAGCUCAGCUGACCUGAGAGUCUGCACUGCCCAGUGAUUGUUUACCACUAAUAUAUAGCCUCAGGGGAGGGGCCUUGUGAGGCCUGUAACUCUCUGAGCUUCCUGAGUCUUCGAAGUUUGGGGAGUCCUGUGGGCCUCCUUUGUCCUUCCAGGAAGGAAGCUUUCAACCUGAAGGAAAUCACUGCACAGUGGUGCUAACGUGUGCUCAUGUGAGAGUUGACGCAUCCACUCGGAGCCUCUUUUCAAAGUGCCUGCUUAUCUCCCCAGCUGUGGACAACAUCUGCAGAUGCUCCUUCUGAGCUUCAGAGCCACACUUGCAGCUUUCAUUUGGGUUCCAUGGCCUGAGUCAUGCUGCUCCCCCCAACCCAGAGGUCAUCUAGUCCUCCUCUUCUUGUGAUUUCCAACUUCGCCUUCUUCAUGGGGGCACUUAGUACCAAGGCCUGAGUCCAGCACACAGUGGCUCCCAUACCACGCUUAACAGCUGGCUUAGAGGAAUUAUGUUCAGACUCAUUAUAAGUUCCUGGUAGGGCAUCCCCAAAGUAUCUUGUUGGGGCCAGAUGUUGUAACAUUGACCAUUGAUCCUAGUGCCCCUGCAGAUCUAUGAGUUUGAGGCCAGCCUGGUCUACAUAUUGAGUACCAGGCCAACAUGAUGAGCCCCUGUCUGGAAAAACAAAACAAACAACCAAGUUGAUUAAUCCAUUUAUACUGUGUUUCUCAUCUCUUCUUGCUUUAUUGGUAGCUUCUCUUCUUUGGGAAGUUGACAUUUCCUGCUGCUUUUCCCUUCCCAACUAUUGGCAGUUUCUAGCACAAACUGCAUUAGUCUGGGGAACUUCAGAAAACCUCCUCUAUAAGGGCAAACUAAUAUUGAAUAUCAGAGAAACAACCCUUUGGUCCUAUAGAACAUUUUGGUCUUUUGGAGUUUUUGUGUUUGUUUGUGUUAUGGUUUUGGUCCCUGUCCCUUCAAGAGACAAGCCACGCCCACUCCCUCCCCCAUCCGCUGA
Arvicola amphibius (Eurasian water vole) is the source of this 4675-nucleotide long non-coding RNA. RefSeq lists it as uncharacterized. The transcript is spliced from 5 exons. The record is from RefSeq and is a predicted model, not a curated record. NCBI's taxonomy places the organism in Eukaryota, Metazoa, Chordata, Mammalia, Rodentia, Cricetidae.